UAAUAAUAAUAAUAAUAAUAAAUAAAUAAAUAAAUAAUAAAAAAUUAAAUAAUAGCAAAAAUAACCAACAGGACAAAAUUGAAACUAAAACAGAAAUUUAGGGGAAAAUCUGAAAUAAAUAAAAAGAAAAGGACCACAUUGAAUGCGCGAAUAACAAAGAGGGACCAAAAGGAAAAUUAAUCUCUGCCCUCCAAAACGACGUCAUUCGAUUAUGGACCUAAUUGAAAUCGAAACGAAUUCUAGGGUACAAAUUAAAGAUAAGAAAAUACUUGAUUGCAAAACCAUAAAAAAUGGAAGGGCUAAAAGCCAAAUUAGCCUCUCCAUUAGAAAACGCGCGGAUCCUAGGACUGGAUCAGGUCGGCACGCGGAUCAUGCCUUAUACGGCGCCGUAUUAGGGCCACUAAAACAGACCCUAAACGACGCCGUUUUAUACUUACUAUAAAAUCAAAAAAAAAUUUUAAAAAUCAUUUUCGGCCAUUUUUACAAGAAAAAAACAAAUCAACCCUAGCUUUCUCUGCUUGGGUUUCUAAAUUUUUCUAUGCCGCCACCAGCAACCGUUCUAAGGCCUCCGAUCCUCUCCCGAUCUCCGAUUGCGACGGAGUGGACAACACCAGGUAAACCUAGUCCCUUAACUGUUUCUUUCUCUUUUUUUAUAUACAAUGAAUAAAUAAAAAUGAUUCAAGAGCGAAAAAAAAUCGUCCAUAGAGAGAAAAAAAAUGAAAGUCACCUUUCAAAAUUCACUGCUAUUUGUUCUCUUUUUUUAUUGAUUUUUCGAAUCCCCUUUUACAGAUUUGAUUGGCUCCUUUUAUAGCAAAAAAAAAUGAAAUUCUCGAAACUAUUUUUUACAUUUUUUUCCUAUUUUCUGUUAUUAUUUGUUGUAUUUCUAUUAUUCUGCUUGUUGCUACUUUGUUGCGUUUGUUACGUUGCAGGUAUGGCUAGCCUGGAGGCACACGUGGAAAGCGUGGCGCGCAUGGAGGGCGGAUGGAGGAGCAGCGGCUGAGGGUGAUGCUAGGGUUACUGCUAAAACUGUUUAGGGUUAUUGGGCUAGGUAUUUGGGUUUAGUUUAUUGGGCUGGGGUUAAUUGUAAUUGGGCCUUGUAAUUUGGACUGAAUUAGAUUUGGGUUUAUUUUUACUAUAAAUGGACUGGACGUUUAUUUUUUUAUUUUUUUUAUUUGGUUUUUAUUUCAAUCGGGCCCGGGCAAAUUGGGCCGAUUACACACUAGAACUGGGCUUGCUCUUUCUAGCGCAUAGGCUCCUCAAACAACUCUUUCGCAAUGGUCACGUGCUAUGCCAAUGAUUACAGACUUAAGGAGAGUUCGAUUAGAAAAAGCAUCAAUGUUGAUUUUAAUGACACUUGAAGGUGGUUUUUGUCAGCAGUCCGUUGGCUCAUUUACUUGCCUUAUAUGAAAGCAUGCAUGCUAUCUUCUGUGAAUUCAUGAAAGUCCUUAAGAGCUCUUUUCCAAACCAAGACAUGAUGUUCAUCCUUUUCUUCAAGUAGAAAUAAGUUUCGAGAUUUCCAC
Molecule: long non-coding RNA, 1520 nt
Filed under: Gossypium barbadense (sea-island cotton)
Lineage: Eukaryota; Viridiplantae; Streptophyta; Magnoliopsida; Malvales; Malvaceae
Description: long non-coding RNA (GBAR_LNC021905)
Source: RNAcentral